GAGCCAAGCCCUUUCUUCCUGUUCCUCCUGCUCAGGUUGAGGCUUCACUUUCCAUGGAGAGAGGCCCCUUCCUGCACCCUGGGGAGGGAGGCUGUCCACAGGUAGGGCCAGGCCCGGUCAGUGGUGCAUGGCCUGAGUAGGGUGGGGGGGCACGGGACCCCUGGAAGGUGAGAGACCAAGAGCCUUAGCUGGUCUGGGGGCUGGUGUGGGGGCGAGCAGAGCCAGUCCCGCCCUUCCCAGCAAGUGAGGACGACCAUGACCUGGUUCCUGGAAGGCGGAACAAGGAGUGGCGGGAUUUCUGCAGGUGUGACCGGGGUUUCUAAUCAGGUGACUUGGCGUUCAUCAGAAGGGAGGUUGAUCUGGCCGAGCCUGGCUAGCUCAGGUGCACCCUUUAAGAGGCUGGAAGCCACAGAGCCGCCCCCUCCUGAUGCCAAAGAAGCAUAUGGCCAUCGGCUCCACAGCUGCGAGAAAGAUUAUGCACACAACGACAUGCGCUCAGGAGGGGACCUCGCGCCUCGGUUGAGAUCCCAGCCCUGGCUGACACCUUGAGUGCAGCCUGUGAGACCCUGAGCAGAGGUUCAGCAGUCCCCUCCCCGGACUCCUGCCACACAGAAGCCAUGAGGCAUCCCCAUCACACACUAGGCUUGGUGACUGCACUUGAGGGACUCACAGGACUUAGCCUACCAUCAUACUAGUGGCUGGGAUUUACUACGGUGAAAAGAUGCGACGCAGAAUUAGUAACAGGAAGAUGCAUUUGGGGUGAGGGCCGGAGGAAACCAGGUACAAGCCCCCAGAGUCCCCUCCCCUGGGGUCCCCUCCCGCAGAAUGUGCUGAAUCCUCCAGCCUCGAGCUGUGACAUGUGCAAAGUGUUCUCUACCAGGGAAGCCUGCCUGAGCCCAGGAGUCCAGGGUUUUCACUGGGGGUUGCUCAUGUAGGUACGUUGUGCCUGCGUGACUGAAUAUGGUCACCGAAAUGCCAGGCUCAGAAGAAAAGCAAGUGUUCAGCAAAUAUCACAUGAUUUGUAUAGAAAAGAGUGAGCAGUUGUUAUUUGGGGAUAGUAUUGUAUCCACAUAGGAGCUCUUUACCAGUCAAGUUCCCAGAUGCCAGCUGGGCGUGGUGGCUCAUGCCUGUAAUCCCAGCACUUUAGGAGUCCGA
RNAcentral lists this long non-coding RNA (1155 nucleotides) under Homo sapiens (human). RNAcentral's name for it is "HSALNT0384149". Lineage: Eukaryota; Metazoa; Chordata; Mammalia; Primates; Hominidae. The record is from RNAcentral.